AACUCUCAAACAAGAUAGAUUUGUUUUUAUCUCUGUUUGGAUUUUGGGCUCUGCUGCAUCAAUGCAGCUGGCCUUAAAUAUAUUAGCUGAUCCUAAUGAAAGUUUGGUUCUACUCAGCAUGAUAAUUAUCUGAUGUUGAGGACAGUCUUUAGGGCUGGCCAUGCUCUCUCUGGAUUGCUUCUAAUCGUCUUUGGACAAUCAUUCAAU
Molecule: unclassified non-coding RNA, 207 nt
Filed under: uncultured Agaricomycetes
Lineage: Eukaryota; Fungi; Basidiomycota; Agaricomycetes
Also listed under: 1 other name
Description: sequence contains ITS2
Source: RNAcentral